RNAcentral lists this ribosomal RNA (449 nucleotides) under uncultured bacterium. RNAcentral's name for it is "partial 16S ribosomal RNA". It matches the Rfam family "Bacterial small subunit ribosomal RNA", at positions 29 to 523 of the family's 1533-position model. The record is from RNAcentral.
AACGAACGCUGGCGGCAGGCUUAACACAUGCAAGUCGAACGCCCUAGCAAUAGGGAGUGGCGCACGGGUGAGUAACGCGUGGGAAUAUACCGAGUAGUGGGGAAUAACGUUGGGAAACUAACGCUAAUACCGCAUACGCCCGAGAGGGGAAAGAUUUAUCGCUAUUCGAUUAGCCCGCGUGAGAUUAGGUAGUUGGUGGGGUAAUGGCCUACCAAGCCUACGAUCUCUAGCUGGUCUGAGAGGAUGAUCAGCCACACUGGAACUGAGACACGGUCCAGACUCCUACGGGAGGCAGCAGUGGGGAAUAUUGGACAAUGGGCGCAAGCCUGAUCCGGCCACGCCGCGUGAGUGAUGAAGGCUUUAGGGUUGUAAAGCUCUUUCGCCGAUGAAGAUAUUGACGGUAGUCGGAGAAGAAGCCCCGGCUAACUUCGUGCCAGCCGCCGCCGUAA